Molecule: ribosomal RNA, 772 nt
Filed under: uncultured marine eukaryote
Lineage: Eukaryota
Description: SSU rRNA
Rfam family: Eukaryotic small subunit ribosomal RNA
Source: RNAcentral
GUUGUUGUGGUUAAAAAGCUCGUAGUUGGAUUUCGGCGGGUAGUGGUUGGUUUGAAUUGCUUCACACUGACUUUUUUACCCGUGUGUUUUGCCAGAAUUUAACGGGUGAUCUUCACCGAUUGUCCGCUGAAACUGGCAGGUUUACUUUGAAAAAAUUAGAGUGCUCAAAGCAAGCAUUACGCUUGAAUAGUUGCGCAUGGAAUAAUAGAAUAGGAAGUCGUUUCUAUUUUGUUGGUUUUCGGAAAUCGACUUAAUGAUUAAUAGGGAUAGUCGGGGGCAUUCAUAUUCAAACGACAGAGGUGAAAUUCUUGGACCGUUUGAAGAUGAACUAAGGCGAAAGCAUUUGCCAAGAAUGUUUUCAUUAAUCAAGAACGAAAGUUAGAGGUUCGAAGGCGAUUAGAUACCGCCCUAGUUCUAACCAUAAACGAUGCCAGCUAGCGAUCUGCCGGCGCUUAAUUUUCUGGCCUGGCAGGGAGCUUCCGGGAAACCAAAGCUUGUGGGUUCCAGGGGAAGUAUGGUUGCAAAGCUGAAACUUAAAGUAAUUGACGGAAGGGCACCACCAGGAGUGGAGCCUGUGGCUUAAUUUGACUCAACACGGGAAAUCUCACCAGGCCCGGACACUAGUAGGAUUGACAGAUUGAUAGCUCUUUCUUGAUUUGGUGGGUGGUGGUGCAUGGCCGUUCUUAGUUGGUGGAGUGAUUUGUCUGGUUUAUUCCGAUAACGAACGAGACUCUGUCCUGCUAAAUAGAUUCAACCUUUCUUUGGGUUGAAA